RNAcentral lists this ribosomal RNA (253 nucleotides) under uncultured bacterium. RNAcentral describes it as "partial 16S ribosomal RNA". It matches the Rfam family "Bacterial small subunit ribosomal RNA", at positions 524 to 776 of the family's 1533-position model. The record is from RNAcentral.
GACAGAGGAUGCAAGCGUUAUCCGGCAUGAUUGGGCGUAAAGCGUCUGUAGGUGGCUUUUUAAGUCUGCCGUCAAAUCCCAGGGCUUAACCCUGGACAGGCGGUGGAAACUACCAAGCUGGAGUACGGUAGGGGCAGGGGGAAUUUCCGGUGGAGCGGUGAAAUGCGUAGAGAUCGGAAAGAACACCAACGGCGAAAGCACUCUGCUGGGCCGACACUGACACUGAGAGACGAAAGCUAGGGGAGCGAAUGGG